CCUACGGGUGGCUGCAGUGGGGAAUAUUGGACAAUGGGGGCAACCCUGAUCCAGCCAUGCCGCGUGUGUGAAGAAGGCCCUCGGGUUGUAAAGCACUUUCAGUGAGGAAGAACGCCUGGUGGUUAAUACCCAUCAGGAAAGACAUCACUCACAGAAGAAGCACCGGCUAACUCCGUGCCAGCAGCCGCGGUAAUACGGAGGGUGCGAGCGUUAAUCGGAAUUACUGGGCGUAAAGCGCGCGUAGGUGGCUUGAUAAGCCGGUUGUGAAAGCCCCGGGCUCAACCUGGGAACGGCAUCCGGAACUGUCAAGCUAGAGUGCAGGAGAGGAAGGUAGAAUUCCAGGUGUAGCGGUGAAAUGCGUAGAGAUCGGGAGGAAUACCAGUGGCGAAGGCGGCCUUCUGGACUGACACUGACACUGAGGUGCGAAAGCGUGGGUAGCAAACAGGAUUAGAUACCCCGGUAGUC
RNAcentral lists this ribosomal RNA (465 nucleotides) under Vreelandella stevensii. Its description in RNAcentral is "partial 16S ribosomal RNA". It matches the Rfam family "Bacterial small subunit ribosomal RNA", at positions 338 to 795 of the family's 1533-position model. Lineage: Bacteria; Pseudomonadati; Pseudomonadota; Gammaproteobacteria; Oceanospirillales; Halomonadaceae. The record is from RNAcentral.